UGGCUUGGUUAUGUUCAAAGUAGAGCAUCAAAUGUCCCAGUAUGAAAGUAUGGCAAGUUAAUAAGGGAAAGAGUGAGAAGGAGAAGGGGGAGACCUAUGCUAACAUGAAGGGAAAUGGUUCAAAGAAAUUACUAGUUUUGGAUAUUGAUUUGUAUUUGGUGUUUAACAAAGUUGGGUAGUGAAAAAUUAAGGACCUAUAUAGCCAACUUUAAUUAGUUUGACAUUAACACUUAGUUGUUAUUAUUUGUUUUUAAAUUGUCUAAGCUUAUAUAUGAUAAUAUUAUGAAAUUUGACCAUGUUCUUGCAUAAUAAUCACACUCACGCACCUAAGGAAUAAGCAAAUCACAAGAACAAUCACACACAGUGAAGAAACAUGAGAUUUACAUGGUUAUCCACAAGAUUCCUACUCUCUUAUACUAUUGAGAAAAGAUGUUACAACUCUAACAGCCUCUAAUUUGUAUCUAAGCUACCCUUUAUAUAGUUUACACUCUUAGGGUUUCUAAAAAUAUACUAGAGUCCUUUCCUAAACAGUAAAAGACUUUCUAGACUUAAUAGAAUUAGGAUUCCUAUCCUAAUAGGAAGUUCCAAAUCACCUUGAAAAUAGCGACCUAAUAUCGAUGUAACCAUUUUGGAUUGCAUAGGCCCCUCUAGAUUGCUCCAUUCAUCUUAAAUGCCAUCAACACAGCAAUACAUGUGGCCACGUACUCCGCUGGACAAAAUAAACCAAAGCUUAUGAUGUCUACACAGCCAUGUCAUUUGACAUAGCCAUGGUUGUGUACCUUUCUGGACAAAAGUGUCUGGAGCACACAAUGUUUACACAACCAUGUCAUUUGACACUCCCAUGGCUAUGUAACCUUCUGCCUUAGAUGAAAUCUAUUAUUUUUCUUCAUGGUUAGGGAUGUUAUGUGUGCACAACUUCCCUUUUUUUGGAAACUUUUAAGUAUGUAGCUAAUCUGCAAACAUAAGCCAAUUUUACUAAAUAGAAAUAAUAUUAUAUUUGUGACUUAAAAUCCUAAUAGAAUAUUAAGAGAUAUCUUUUCCUAAUUUGAAUGGGAGAAAUAUUUUAAAAUAGGAUGGAGGAAUAUUUUCUA
Molecule: unclassified non-coding RNA, 1091 nt
Filed under: Hevea brasiliensis (rubber tree)
Lineage: Eukaryota; Viridiplantae; Streptophyta; Magnoliopsida; Malpighiales; Euphorbiaceae
Source: RNAcentral